CCUACGGGUGGCAGCAGUGGGGAAUAUUGCACAAUGGGGGAAACCCUGAUGCAGCGACGCCGCGUGAGUGAAGAAGUAUUUCGGUAUGUAAAGCUCUAUCAGCAGGGAAGAAGAUGACGGUACCUGAAUAAGAAGCCCCGGCUAACUAAGUGCCAGCAGCCGCGGUAAUACGUAGGGGGCAAGCGUUAUCCGGAUUUAAUGGGUGUAAAGGGAGCGUAGACGGCAGUGCAAGUCUGGAGUGAAAGCCCAGGGCCCAACCCCGGAACUGCUUUGGAAACUGUGCGGCUAGAGUGCUGGAGGGGCAGGCGGAAUUCCUAGUGUAGCGGUGAAAUGCGUAGAUAUUAGGAGGAACACCAGUGGCGAAGGCGGCCUGCUGGACAGUAACUGACGUUGAGGCUCGAAAGCGUGGGGAGCAAACAGGAUUAGAUACCCUAGUAGUC
This 440-nucleotide ribosomal RNA is filed under the name uncultured bacterium. RNAcentral describes it as "partial 16S ribosomal RNA". It matches the Rfam family "Bacterial small subunit ribosomal RNA", at positions 338 to 795 of the family's 1533-position model. The record is from RNAcentral.